GUCGAAAGGUGGCCAGUGAAGGAGAGGGUAAGGAGCGUGCGACCAACAGACCAAACAUGCAGUAAUGAAAAUGUGCUAGCCAGUAAUUCACAAGCGAGUCUUGAACAAGCGCUAGUCAGCCAGGAGUGGGAGGCGUGCGUGACCAAAGUGUGAGUGAGUCGCGACCAUGUUGGCGUGGCGUGUGGCGUUGGUGGUGGCCGUGGUGCCUUACCUGGCGGGGGCACAGCUAGCCACGGAGGCCCAGGACCCAGCCGCGGAGUGUGAGUGUUCCCCGGCGUGUGAGGGCGCGGUGGAGGGCAGUUGUCGCGGAGGUGUAGUGGAACGGGAGGACUGCCCGUGUUGCAACGUGUGCGCGAGGCAGGAGGGGGAGGUGUGUGUCCUGCCCUCCAUGCCCUGCGACACCAAGUUCGGCCUCUUCUGCUCUCCUGACGGUGUUUGCAAAGCUGAGUUCAAGUGUGUCGCCGAUAAGGAGUGCGCUGAGGAUCGCUUCUGCCUCGGCGGUGUGUGCGUGGACCCCUGCCCGAUCCUUACGCCGUGCCAAGGGACUCUACAGGGCGGGAAGUGCUUUUCCAGAAACCACCAACCCGUCUGUGAGUGUCCGGAAGGCACCUUUAAAAACCCAGAGGACAAUGCGUGUCUCCAUGUCAACAGCACUGCUCAAGGCUGUGAGUACGAGGGCCGCCUGUACGCCCCCGGUGAGGCGCGCUACACCCAGCACUGCAUGGAACGCUGCACCUGCCAAGCUGACGGAACCUUCACCUGCGGCCCUGUCACCUGCCCGCCAGGACUCUUCCUGGCUGGCCACCACGCACAGCAAGAACUCUGCAUUGAGCUGCGUAAUCGCCCAGGGGCGGACGAGUGCUGCGUAGUGGUGGCCUGCGCCAACAGCCUGGCGCGCCCCGCGGGUUCUGAUGCACCGCCGUUGGGCCAUCUGCCACCCGUCGCUCAAGAAGAAAUGUCAAAAUUCCCCAUCACGGGCCGCGCCGUGAAUGCUGCACCGAACAGGGAGGAGUACCAAAAGAAGCUCAUAGAACUGGAGAAGGAGCUUGCUAAAGAAAAGAACAAUGACAAGAAAGCAUCGAGAGACGAGACUGCCUUCGAGGAGACAGACACAGCCACCGAUGACACGCCGAUGGAAGAGAUGGAGACCACCACGACUGUUCCUGAUGCAAACACCGAGCAGGCGCCGAUGGUUGACCCCAUGGAGAUCACCACUCUUCCGUCCGAGGCUGAAGACUUUGCUCAAGCUGUGAAAGAGAUGACAGAAGCUGAAGCAGCGACCACUGUCACCCCCCUGACGCAAGAGGAAGCAGCAGGGCAGGAGGAGGAGGAGGCCCAGCAGGCGGUGGUAGUGGAAUACGACGACGCAGGCGAGCAGGUGCACCGCAUCACCGUGGAGGAGCAGGUGUUGGUGGUCACCACGGAGGCUGCCACGCCGGCGGGAGAAGAGGAAGCUGCCACUGACGUUCCUCCUCCGUCUGAUCUCACGGGGGAGGAGGAGAUGACCAGAGAGGGGAAGAGCGCUGCAGCAGAAGGCGAGAACAUCACCACUGAGGAACAUCGGGAGGUCUCCACGGAGUCCCCCAAGCUGGAGACGAAGGGCGGCGUGGGCGGCCUCAAGGUUCGUCAGGUGACACACAACUCCACCACUCUCCUUCUGCCCACGAGUAAAGGCGGCGACCUCUAUUACAAGGCUGUCGAUGGACUGGAGUGGCUGCAGAAGCAAGUCGAAUCCGGAAAAGACUCGACAGAACUCACCGGCCUCCUGCCAUCCACUCAGUACACCUUGAAAUGGACAGGUUCCUUCGGGGGAUCAGCCAAAAUUAAUGUAGAGACUGAGGGAGGUUGUCGGCUCAAGAACAUGUCCCACGCCAUUGGGGAGAUGUGGUUCGACGGGUGUGCCAAGAGGUGUUCCUGCAGACCCUCCGGCAAGAGUGAGUGCCAGCCCAGGUGUGCCCUCCAACCUCGUGACGGUGCCUUGCAGGACCCGACGUGUGAACAGCGACCAGACCCCGCAGACCCAGAGUGCUGCUUCAUUUACGAGUGUCCCGGCGACAGUCAGGUGCAGGCGGCGGAGGGGCAGGGCGUGGAGGCCAACCUGCCCAAGCUGCUGGUGACGGAAAAGACACACAACUCCAUCACCCUCGCCUGGGAUGACUUCAGGGGCAGGACUUACGAGGGAGGCUACGUGGCUGAGUACAGGAAGGAGAUGGAGGUGUCGCCUGGUGAGGAGCUGCCCUGGAUGAGGAAGGAGGUGCCCAUCGGUGAAUUCCAACCUAGACUCACCGUGGAAGGUCUGGAGCCUGACACGCUCUAUGAGGUACGAGUGUCUAUUUUCGACGAGGCGGAGGACAAGCAGCGAGAGAGCACAGAGACCAUCAACGUGAGGACGGAGGCUGGAUGUGUCUACGGGAACGAGUCUUACCCAGUGGGGGAGUUCCUGCAGGGGUGCGAGAUGCGGUGCAAGUGUAUGGCCAGCGGGGAAGUGCAGUGCUUUGAGCGAUGUUCUCCGCCUUUCGUACGAGCUGGAUCAUACCGCGACGACCCGAUGUGCAAGGAGGUGCCCCAUGACACCGACGAGUGUUGCGUGGCGGUGCAGUGCGAGAGCAGUGCGCAAGCAGCCAGGGAGGAAUGUGUCAACGUGGUGUGUGGACCCAAUGCCGAGUGCUCUGCGGACGUGGCUGUGCUGAAGGACCUCACCCUCGUUGAUGGAGAGGCAGACGAGGCCACGAACUUGUGCCGCUGUCUGGAUGGAUUUAUUGGCAACGCUUCCGAUAUUGUCACUGGCUGUAUUCCAGACCCAACCUCAGGAUCUAAGGAGGGAGGCUGCACCUUCAAGAACAGCACAUACAGGCCUGGGGAUGUGUUCUACGACAUGUGUACCCUGCGCUGCACCUGCAAUAACAACACCGAGCUAGAGUGUGAGCCUCGUUGUGAAUUCUCCCAUGAGGACGGGACAGAGAUGGAUCCUGGCUGUGAGUACGUCCCAGACCCUGAUGACUCCUGCUGCCAAAUCCGUGUCUGCAACUCCACACCAGAGGCUGCCACUGAUGCUGCCCACACCCCAUCUCUACUUUCUGAUGGCUGCACACAAGGCAAUGUCACUUAUGCCAAACAUGCUACCUUCUACAAUGGCUGUGAAUCUCAGUGUGUCUGCAUUGGCUUUGGUGACAUCUCCUGCACUCCAAGAUGUCCACCCUUCAAGGUCAUGCCUGAAGGUGCAGAGAAGUGUGAAACUCUGCCAGACCCCAACGACUCAUGCUGCUCCAUUACUGUCUGUGACGAGCCCACUCCAGAUGUCAUGAGGGCCAACAUCACCGAAUUGGAAGAUGAAGUGAUGAGAAAUAUGACAGAGACAGAUAAGGAAAUUAUGAUGAAUGAAAUGAAAAACAUGACAGACAUGGAGAAGGAAAUCAUGAUGAAGAAGAUGCUGAAUAUGACAGACACAGAGAAAGAAGCAGCAAUGAAGAACAUGACAGAAAUUGUUGAUGAGGUGAUGAAUGAAGCCCAUGAGCAGGAGUCCACUCAUAAUGACACCCUUGGUCAUGAUCACACCCAUGAAAACGAACAUGAACUGACUGGUGUACACACUCAUGAACACACUCAUGCUGAUGGCACUACCCACUCCCACCCUCAUGACCACAGCAUGAACCACACUCAUGAUGAGGAUGGCAUGAUUGAUGUACACUUGCACACUCAUGAAGAUGGAACCACACACAGCCACCCUCAUGAUCCCAACAUGGAACAUUCACAUGACCAUGAACAUGGCAUGGGUGACAUGCACACUCAUGAAGAUGGAACUACCCACACUCAUAAUGACACCUUUGGUCAUGAUCACACCCAUGAGAAUGAACAUGAACUGACUGGUGUACACACUCAUGAACACACUCAUGCUGAUGGCACCACCCACACUCACCCUCAUGACCACAGCAUGAACCACACUCAUGAUGAGGAUGGCAUGAUUGAUGUACACUUGCACACUCAUGAAGAUGGAACCACACACAGCCACCCUCAUGAUCCCAACAUGGAACAUUCACAUGACCAUGAACAUGGCAUGGGUGACAUGCACACUCAUGAAGAUGGAACUACCCACACUCAUAAUGACACCUUAGGUCAUGAUCAUACUCAUGAAAAUGAACAUGAACUCAUUGGCAUACACACUCAUGAACACACUCAUGCUGAUGGCACCACCCACUCCCACCCUCAUGACCACACCAUGAACCACACUCAUGAUGAGAAUGACAUGACUGAGUUGCACAUGCAUGAACACACCCAUGAUGAUGGAACCACACACAGCCAUCCUCACAGCCAUGCCAUGAAUGACACACAUGACCAUGAACAUGGCAUGGGUGACAUGCACACUCAUGAAGAUGGAACUACUCAUAGUCAUAAUGAAACUUUUGGCCAUGAUCAUACUCAUGAGAAUGAACAUGAACUGACUGGUGUGCACACUCAUGAACACACUCAUGCUGAUGGCACCACCCACACUCACCCUCAUGACCACAGCAUGAAUCACACUCAUGAUGAGGAUGACAUGAUUGAUGUACACUUGCACACUCAUGAAGAUGGAACCAUACACAGCCACCCUCAUGAUCCCAACAUGGAACAUUCACAUGACCAUGAUAUGCACCAUGAAAAUGAUAUGGAUGGAAUUGGCAACCACACUCAUAUCCAUGAGAAUGGUGUUAUACAUUCUCACCCUCAUGACCAUGAAGGGGAUGAAGGCCACAAUCACACACAUUUCAACAAUGUUUUGGAUAAGAAGAGUCGAGCAGAGGAUCUGGGCACCCAUGACCUCAACAUCCUGAAGGUGACGGCUGUCAACGCUACCACAGUCAUGAUCCGAGUGGCUGUCUCUGAUGCUGUCAGGCUCAAGGUUCUUUCGUCUGAGGACCAGCACUUCACUGUCCUGUUCAGUCCUGACUCCCUAACUUGGUCAGAAAAGAAGAUCUUUGUGAAGGAUAUUGAAGUAGAGAACCUGAAUGAGAUUGUCAUGUACCUGAACGACCUGCAACCUGCAACGGCCUACCAGUUCCGUGUGUCUUUCCUUGACCUAGUCAGCUCCACCUCGAAGGCCACACUCCUCAGCAGUUCCUCAGAUCCAGGUUUGGCAAUAGACGCUAGUCAGAUGUGUUCCCACGAGGGGAGGUACUACAAGCCUGGCCAGGAGUUCUAUGAGGGCUGCUCCUAUGUCUGCAUCUGCACCGAAAGUCUGGAGGUGCACUGCGCUGCCAUCGAGUGUCCACUGUCCUUUGGCCUUGAGCUUAUUGAUCCUGACUGUCUGGACUGGAAAAUUGACCCAGACCACAUCCCUGAGCCACCCAAGUGCUGUGGCCAGAUGAAGUGUGUCUCCACCUCAGCCUGUCAGUACAUGGGGCAAACCUACAAGAAUUAUGACCAGAUCCCUCGAGAGAUUACUGGCUGCUCCCAAGUAUGUACCUGCAACUAUGGCAAUGUGACCUGCCGUGACCUGUGUGACCCUGUACCCACCAUCCCACCCAUUGACCUGCAGUGUGCCCCAGAACAUGCUGUCAUUGUGACCCUUCCUGGGGAGACCUGCUGCAGAGCCUGGCAGUGCGCUACUCAUUCUGUUGAAAGUGUCCCUGCCACCUUUCCUCUGCCCCCUGUGUCUGUGGUGGGAGCCCCACCCACCCCCCGCCCUCCUGCCCGCCACCUUCCCUGCCACCCCUUACUUUGGGCCAGAUGAGGUGAUCUCCAAGCCACACGUUUCAUCGCUGGAUGCCUCAACCAUCCACCUGAUUUUCACCACUCCCUCCCUGUACCAAGGCCUGCCAGGAGAACUCUUCCUCAGAUACACCAGUGACCCAGAAGGACAACCGGAUCCCAACACCUGGAUGAGGGAGGUCCUGGUACCCAUGGGCUCCCUCAUCUUCCAAUUUGAGUGGGACCACAUGCUGACCGGCCUGGAGCCUGCCACUGAGUACACUCUGCAGGUGGUGCUCACUGUCCAGGGGGCUGAGCCCAUCUAUUCCCCUGUCUUCACCUACACCACCAUGGAGGAAGCCACUGAUCCACCGACCACCACUCCACUGCCACGCCUGGACAUUGAUGCCGAGCUCUACGCCUCAGAGAUCACAAAGACGUCAGCCAAGGUCUCAUGGAGAAGCUUUAGUGACUAUGAGCUGCAGUACAUUGAUGGUGUACAAGUCAAGUAUACUCAGAAAAAUAAUCUGAUCCCCAAGUUUAGUCAGCUGUUCCACCAUAACAACGACCAGAUGGACCUUCGUGACCUCCAGCCUGACUCCACCUACACUGUGGACCUUGUGUUCAUCACUCACGAGAACCAGACCACCAAGGUGACCAACACCAAGCCAAUCACCUUCACCACACUGCCUGAGGAAGAUCCUUAUGACUUUGAGAUUAGCAUCAGGACUGGCAAGAUAACCUCCCAGACUGCAGAGUUGCUGUACUCAGGCAUACCUGAGCCAGAAGUGAAGUAUGUCAGUGUGUACCGUGUUGUGUACAUCAACGACAAUGAGAGAACUGACUCACAGACCUUCAAGAUCCCCCAGAGUGGCCAGGACAAGAUGGUCUACAUCAACGAGUUGAAGCCAGAUGUGAAGUAUGUGGUGUGGCUGGAGGCUUUCCUAUCCAAUGGCCGCAAGAAGAAGAGUAACGUGGUGGAGUUCUCAACUAAGGCUGGCCAACUUCCCAAGCCUGAGAAGAGUGAAAUUGAUCCUAAUGAAGUAGAAAGCAACGGAGAGAACUACUAUCCCGCCCUGGUUGCUGUUGCUCUCAUUGCGGCCGUGGCCUGCCUGGGCUUCCUUGCACUCCUUGUCAUUCUCCUGAGAAAACAGAGCCACGCCAAGGCUCACAUUAACUCAUCGAGGAACGCCUCGUAUGACAACCCGUCAUACAAGGUAGGGGACAAUACUUAUGACAUGGAGAUGAACGGCAUCAAGGGGAACAGUGGGAAUGGCGCCACACAUCCAGAGGAGCAGCCUUAGUCCCCCACUGCAGUCUUCCUUCUCACCUUCCCUGUGUCCUGUCUCAGUGGCUGUCCCUUGUGUGUCAAUCUUAAGGAGUUUUUUUUUAUCAUGUCUUUGUCUUUGUUUUUUUUUUUUCUGUUUACAGAAAUUCAGCUCAUGUAAAAAUUGCUUCAGUCAAUACUUUUGAUGUAAAUAAGUACUAUGUGACAAUAUUCAAAGUCCUGUUACUAUGCCAUUGCCUGAAGUAAGAUGCCUGAGAGCUAAGCAUUAUUAUUAUUUUUUUCAUGAACUUUUAUUAUUAUGUAGGUUAAGGUUCACUGCAAGGAAACCUGCUGGUGAGAGUAAAUGUAUAAAAUAUAUACGAAUAUAUACUCAGGUGUUGAACGCAGUAAUUUCAAUGGUGACUGGUAAGGGAUAACGUGUAAUAUACAUUCGUACGUCCGUCUUAUGACUCCUUUUUUAGAUUAUUCUCUUAUAUUUUUUUUCUCUAAUGAUUAGACACCAUAAUAAGCAACCCUCAAGCUUAAUACUAACGUGUGCUUUAGUCAUUUACACAUUUUCUAUUCCUAGUUAUUUAUAGUUUUCUAUAAAUCAAGAAGUAACCCAGAGUAAUGAGCUGGUGCUCCAUAAAACCAUUUGGUUGUGCCUUUCUUAGCAACAGUGCUGUAUGUAAGUGUGCCAUUAUUGUAUGCUAGCACAAACAAAAUGUAUGGUAGUGUUCCUGCAUCUCUGUCCCACAAUGAACUCAGUCUUGUUAUAAAGCAUACUGAUAGUUGUGGAUGGAGGUUCAUUCCAAUUAUUAAACUGUGUUGUUGCCAGGGUCAGAGAUCUUCAGAGCUCACUUAAUAUUGCUUGUCCCCUCAACAUAUUCACAUUGUGCUCAUGAAAAAAAAAAAAAAAAAAAAGCAGAAACAUGGUUUCAGUUCUUGAACUGAAUUAUCUUGUUCUGUGAUAAAGGAAUUGGUUUGAGAUCCUUGAUGGUAAUUGCAGCUUUUAACUGUCAGCUGGUGUCUGUACUUGUCAGCCAGAGCAAGUGUUGUCUGACUCCUCUCCCAUUCCUUUUGUAGAUAGAAAGAGCUCUGAAGGCUGCCCCUGGAACCAUUGCUAUGGAGUGUACAUGUGAUAGUUGAUUGACCUACAGCAUUGCACUAUAACAUGAGUGUUGUCAGGUCAGGUUAUGCAAUAUAAUUGUUAGGAACAACUUGAGCUUAGAAUGUAUUUUCUAUUUUUUUAUAUUUUGAUAAACAGUCACUGUAAAUCACAAGCUCUCCCUGUCAGUGGUGGUGGCUAGGAGUGUCUGCUGACUGGCCUGCCAGGAGCCGUGUGGCAGGCUGCAUGAGAUGUCACUUUCUGGCCUCCUUGUAUUUGUCUGUAACAAACCCAGAGAAAAUAUAUUGUAAAGAUUACCACAACAGUAUACUAUUUUAACAAAAUUUUAUGCAUUACUCCAAAAUAUAUAUUAUAUAACUUGGCAUGUUUUAAUGAUUUCAAGUUGACUUGUUAAUAUUGGUGCAGCACUUGUACAGUUAUUAUUGUAAAGAUUUUGUGCAGAUAUGCACAUUAAACUACCCUUUUUAG
RNA transcript from Scylla paramamosain (green mud crab), 8528 nucleotides. RefSeq lists it as uncharacterized. The record is from RefSeq and is a predicted model, not a curated record. NCBI's taxonomy places the organism in Eukaryota, Metazoa, Arthropoda, Malacostraca, Decapoda, Portunidae. The transcript has 28 exons.